CUAAAGAGCCAAGGUUCAGAGAAAGCGAAUGAGUCCGUUUCUUUCUUUUGUUUUGUUUUUCUUUUUCAUCUCAUUUCUUUUCCUUUAUUUUCUCUCUUUUUUCUUCUUCCCUUUUCUUUUUCUUCUUUUUUCUUUUUCUUUCUUUAUAUUCUUUUUCCUUUUGUGCUAAGAAUUAUUAAAGCUUUGAGCAUCACUAAGCUACACACCCAGUCAACACCUGCUCAAAUUUAAUCUCCCUAAUGUUAAGUCUUGAGUCCAAGACUCUCCCUGCUGUAGUAUCAACUGUGGUCUUCCAUUCCAGGCAAGGACUUGAAGCUGAUGUGAAUAGUGCGUCUAGCACACCUGAUCUAUAGGAAGAGUUCCCGACUGGAAGACACGAGCACACACGAGCCCUCUUGCCAUCUGGCAUUCUGCCACUGGCUGGCACAGUACAGAAGCCCUCCCCAGAUGCCAGCACCUUGAGAGUGGACACCCAACCUCAGGAACUGUGAGGAGGAAAUGACUUUUCUUCGCUAACUACUCUACCUGUAGUCAUCUCUCAUGGUGGCACUAAAUAAAGACAUAUUCUCCAACUGUCAAGAUAACCUGAUCUACCAGAUAGAAAGUCUACCGGGAAAGAAUGAGAAAGAUGACGGACAAGGACCAUCACUGGCAUCACUUCAUACUUCUCAUUAGAGAAGAGCUUUGGGCAUUUUAGCCUGGUGAGCACAAAUCUGCCGGAGAGAGAUGGGUCCAUUCUAGACGUGCCAACAUAACAAACUUCCAACCAUGCUAGAUCACAAGUUCGACCCAGGAAAAGAAAGCCCAUGUCAAUGGUGGGCCAGAGAAGGAUACAAACUCCUUGCUGUUUCGUCCCCAGUGUGCUAUCAUUUUUUGAAAAUGGCACGUGGUAUUGUUAUAAGCAUUAAAAAAGGCUGCAUGUGUAACGUGUAAAGUGCUUAG
Molecule: small RNA, 942 nt
Filed under: Rattus norvegicus (Norway rat)
Lineage: Eukaryota; Metazoa; Chordata; Mammalia; Rodentia; Muridae
Description: uncharacterized LOC102549980
Source: RNAcentral